RNAcentral lists this ribosomal RNA (505 nucleotides) under uncultured bacterium. Its description in RNAcentral is "partial 16S ribosomal RNA". It matches the Rfam family "Bacterial small subunit ribosomal RNA", at positions 28 to 507 of the family's 1533-position model. The record is from RNAcentral.
GACGAACGCUGGCGGCGUGCCUAAUACAUGCAAGUAGAACGCACAGUUUAUACCGUAGCUUGCUACACCAUAGACUGUGAGUUGCGAACGGGUGAGUAACGCGUAGGUAACCUGCCUGGUAGCGGGGGAUAACUAUUGGAAACGAUAGCUAAUACCGCAUAAUAUUGAUUAUUGCAUGAUAAUUGAUUGAAAGAUGCUAUUGCAUCACUACCAGAUGGACCUGCGUUGUAUUAGCUAGUAGGUGAGGUAACGGCUCACCUAGGCGACGAUACAUAGCCGACCUGAGAGGGUGAUCGGCCACACUGGGACUGCGGCACGGCCCAGACUCCUACGGGAGGCAGCAGUAGGGAAUCUUCGGCAAUGGACGAAAGUCUGACCGAGCAACGCCGCGUGAGUGAAGAAGGUUUUCGGAUCGUAAAGCUCUGUUGUAAGAGAAGAACGGGUGUGAGAGUGGAAAGUUCACACUGUGACGGUAUCUUACCAGAAAGGGACGGCUAACUACGUG